This 253-nucleotide ribosomal RNA is filed under the name uncultured bacterium. RNAcentral's name for it is "partial 16S ribosomal RNA". It matches the Rfam family "Bacterial small subunit ribosomal RNA", at positions 524 to 776 of the family's 1533-position model. The record is from RNAcentral.
GACAGAGGCCACGAACGUUGUUCGGAAUUACUGGGCGUAAAGCGCACGUAGGCGGCUAGGUCCGUCCGAUGUGAAAGCCCCCGGCUCAACCGGGGAACAGCAUCGGAUACAGCCUGGCUUGAGGACGGUUGGGGUGAGUGGAACUCCUGGUGGAGCGGUGAAAUGCGUAGAUAUCAGGAGGAACACCGGUGGCGAAAGCGGCUCACUGGACCGUUACUGACACUGAGGCACGAAGGCCAGGGGAGCAAACGGG